RNAcentral lists this long non-coding RNA (1767 nucleotides) under Gossypium barbadense (sea-island cotton). RNAcentral's name for it is "long non-coding RNA (GBAR_LNC016137)". The record is from RNAcentral. Lineage: Eukaryota; Viridiplantae; Streptophyta; Magnoliopsida; Malvales; Malvaceae.
UACAGUGCACAUAGCAUCUCAUUAAUGAAUCACUUUUUUCAGUGACCAAGUCCAUUCUCGACAAUUUUGGGACGUUAAGUAAAAUAAUAAAAUGAGGUUUUAUGUUUGUACAAGCCCAAAUAUGCCCGGGCCCAAACCCAAUAAAACUUGGCAGAUUUUACCUCCCUGAGGUUACAGUGGAGUACAUUGAAGCCAGUAAUUCUAUCUCCCUAGGCAAUAGUGGAAUAGAUUGAAGAUUAUAGAUCUUAUCUCCCUAGGCAUUAGUAGAGUAGAUCGAAGAUGGCUGAUUUUACCUCCCUUAAGUUACAGUGGAGUACAUUGAAGCUAGUAAUUCUAUCUCCCUGGGCAGCAGUGGAAUACAUUGAAGAUUACAGAUCUUAUCUCCCUAGGCAUUAAUGGAGUAGAUCGAAAAUGGCAGAUUUUACCUCCCUAAGGUUACAGUAGAGUACAUAAAGGCCAGUAAUUCUAUCUCCCUGGGCAGCAGUGGAAUUGAUUGAAGAUUACAGAUCUUAUCUCCCUAGGCAGUAGUGGAGUAGAUCGAAGAUGACAGAUUUUACCUCCCUGAGGUUACAGUGGAGUACAUUGAAGCUAGUAAUUCUAUCUCCCUGUUCGACAGUGAAAUCGAUUGAAGAAUAGCAGAUCUUAUCUCCCUAAGCAAUAGUGGAGUAGACUGACGACGGCGAAUCUAGUUUCCCCUACAUUGCAGUUGAACAAAUUAAAGAAACUAAUCUUAUCUCCCUAAAGUUGCGAUGGAGUAGAUUAGAACUACAGAUCUUAUCUCUCUGAAGUUGCAGUAGAACAGAUCGCAUCAGAUUUAUCUUUAAGUUGUGGCAGAACAAGUUAAAGCUAUAAGUCUCAUCUCCCUAAGGUUACAGUGGAACAAAUUAAAUAUAGCAAAUUUUAUUUUUUUUGAGGAGUUACAACGUAGAAAUCCUAUCACCCCGACAUUGCAGUAGAGUACAUAGAAGCACCAGUUCUUAUACCUCUGAAGAUGCAAUAGGAAGGAAUGAGACUAUUUAAAGAAGAAAAGCACCGAAGAAGUCAAGGCUUAGUAAGACCGAGCACAAUUGGGCUUUUAGUCUUUGCUUGUUCCCGUUACACGACAACGAGCAAAGAGAGGCAGCUGUACAAGCCCAAAUAUGCCCGGGCCCAAACCCAAUAAAACUUAGGCCAAGCUAAACCCAAUUACAGGGCCCAAUUGGCCUAAAACAGCAAAAACCCUAGCAACAAUUAGCAGCGCCACAUGCCCCACGUUCGGCAGUCUCCACACCGUCCCACGUUCAACACUCCGCGCACGCCACACGCUUGUACCUGCAACAACCACGAACUGUAAAGGGUGGAAAAGAGGUUUUCGGGGGGUCUUCUUUUUGUUAUUUUAGCUAUUUAAAGUCAAAUCGAAUCUGUAAUAGGGGUUAGCAAAUUUUUGUAUUGGAAAAACUGGAAAAAAAAAAUACAAGAGAGAACAAGUUUUUUAAGGUGACAGAUUUUAGUUCUUUUUUUUCUUUUGUUUUUUUUACUGUUUCUAUUGGAUUUUGUUUCUAUUUUUAUUUCUUAAAACAAAAACAAAAGGGAAAGGAAAAGGAGGGCUUACCGUUGCGAGAUUCGUCGGAGAGCGUCCUCAUUUCGUCGUCAUCUGGUCGGACAUGGGAGGGGACUGGAACGGCGGAGGAGAACUGCUGCGGAGCGAUUUUGAAUGGCAGAGGAGUUUUCUUUUAAGGGUUUGAAAUGGGUUUUAUUGGCUGCAAAUGAAAUGAGAUUCUAUUUAUG